Molecule: non-coding RNA, 127 nt
Filed under: chicken gut metagenome
Source: RNAcentral
CUUAUCAAGAGUGUACGCUCUACGUACAAAAGGCAGAGGGAACGGCCCUAUGACGCCCGGCAACCUGUAAGAUUAAAAAUAUCGCACAAGGUGCUAAUUCCGACGAAGCAACCCUUCGUAAGAUAAG